GAUGAACGCUGGCGGCGUGCCUAAUACAUGCAAGUCGAGCGGAGAGAUGAGGAGCUUGCUCCUCGGACGUGAUCGGCGGACAGGUGAGUAGCACGUCGAUAACCUACUUAUACGACUUGGAGGACAACGGGAAGCCGGUGCUGAUACCACGUGAUAUAUUGGGCCUCAUGGUUGAUUAGUGAAAGACGGUUUUGGUGUCGGUUGUAGAUGGGUCCGCGGCGCAUUAGCUAGUUGGUAAGGUGACGGCUUACCAAGGCGACGAUGCGUAGCCGACCUGAGAGGGUGAUGGGCGGCCCCAGAACUGAGAAGACGCCCAGACUCCUCCGGCAGGCAGCAGCAGGGAAUCUUACGCAAUGGGCGGAGGACUGCCGGAGCAGCGCCGCGUGAGUGAUGAAGGUCUUCGGCGCGUAGAACUCUGCUAUCAGGGAAGAAGAAAUGUGGACGUGACUAUGCACGGCUUGACGGUAGCUAAUCAGAAAGCGACGGCUAACUACGUG
RNAcentral lists this ribosomal RNA (497 nucleotides) under uncultured bacterium. Its description in RNAcentral is "partial 16S ribosomal RNA". It matches the Rfam family "Bacterial small subunit ribosomal RNA", at positions 28 to 507 of the family's 1533-position model. The record is from RNAcentral.